GCAGUGAACUGAAACAUCUAAGUAGCUGCAGGAAGAGAAAGCAAACGCGAUUGCCUUAGUAGCGGCGAGCGAAACGGCAGGAGGGCAAACCGAGAAGUUUACUUCUCGGGGUUGUAGGACUGCGACGUGGGACUUUAAAAGGAUAGAAGAAUUACCUGGGAAGGUAAGCCAAAGAGAGUAAUAGCCUCGUAUUUAAAAUUCUUUUGAGCCCUAGCAGUAUCCUGAGUACGGCGAGACACGCGAAAUCUCGUCGGAAUCUGGGAGGACCAUCUCCCAACCCUAAAUACUCUCUAGUGACCGAUAGUGAACCAGUACCGUGAGGGAAAGGUGAAAAGCACCCCGGGAGGGGAGUGAAAUAGAACCUGAAACCGUGUGCCUACAACAAGUUCGAGCCCGUUAAUGGGUGAGAGCGUGCCUUUUGUAGAAUGAACCGGCGAGUUACGAUAUGAUGCGAGGUUAAGUUGAAGAGACGGAGCCGCAGGGAAACCGAGUCUUAAUAGGGCGACUUAGUAUCAUGUUGUAGACCCGAAACCAUGUGACCUACCCAUGAGCAGGUUGAAGGUGCGGUAAGACGCACUGGAGGACCGAACCAGGGCACGUUGAAAAGUGCUUGGAUGACUUGUGGGUAGCGGAGAAAUUCCAAACGAACUUGGAGAUAGCUGGUUCUCUCCGAAAUAGCUUUAGGGCUAGCGUCGAUGUUAAGUCUCUUGGAGGUAGAGCACUGUUUGGGUGAGGGGUCCAUCUCGGAUUACCAAUCUCAGAUAAACUCCGAAUGCCAACGAGAUAUAAUCGGCAGUCAGACUGCGAGUGCUAAGAUCCGUAGUCGAAAGGGAAACAGCCCAGACCACCAGCUAAGGUCCCAAAAUAUAUGUUAAGUGGAAAAGGAUGUGGGGUUGCACAGACAACUAGGAUGUUAGCUUAGAAGCAGCUAUUCAUUCAAAGAGUGCGUAAUAGCUCACUAGUCGAGUGACCCUGCGCCGAAAAUGUACCGGGGCUAAAACAUAUUACCGAAGCUGUGGAUGACACGUUAGUGUCAUGGUAGGAGAGCGUUCUAUGUGUGAAGAAGGUGUACCGUGAGGAGCGCUGGAACGCAUAGAAGUGAGAAUGCCGGUAUGAGUAGCGAAAGACAGGUGAGAAUCCUGUCCACCGUAAGACUAAGGUUUCCAGGGGAAGGCUCGUCCGCCCUGGGUUAGUCGGGACCUAAGGAGAGACCGAAAGGUGUAUCCGAUGGCCAACAGGUUGAUAUUCCUGUACUAGAGUAUAAAGUGAUGGAGGGACGCAGUAGGCUAACUAAAGCAGGCGAUUGGAAGAGCCUGUCUAAUCAGUGAGGUGUAAGAUGAGUCAAAUGCUUAUCUUUAUAACAUUGAGCUGUGAUGGGGAGCGAAGUUAAGUAGCGAAGUUAGUGAUGUCACACUGCCAAG
Molecule: ribosomal RNA, 1421 nt
Filed under: Streptococcus dysgalactiae subsp. equisimilis
Lineage: Bacteria; Bacillati; Bacillota; Bacilli; Lactobacillales; Streptococcaceae
Description: bacterial LSU rRNA
Rfam family: Bacterial large subunit ribosomal RNA
Source: RNAcentral